AUUGAACGCUGGCGGCAUGCCUUACACAUGCAAGUCGAACGGUAACAGGUCUUCGGAUGCUGACGAGUGGCGAACGGGUGAGUAAUACAUCGGAACGUGCCCGAUCGUGGGGGAUAACGGAGCGAAAGCUUUGCUAAUACCGCAUACGAUCUACGGAUGAAAGCAGGGGACCGCAAGGCCUUGCGCGGACGGAGCGGCCGAUGGCAGAUUAGGUAGUUGGUGGGAUAAAAGCUUACCAAGCCGACGAUCUGUAGCUGGUCUGAGAGGACGACCAGCCACACUGGGACUGAGACACGGCCCAGACUCCUACGGGAGGCAGCAGUGGGGAAUUUGGACAAUGGGCGAAAGCCUGAUCCAGCCAUGCCGCGUGCAGGAUGAAGGCCUUCGGGUUGUAACUGCUUUGUACGGAACGAAAGACUCCUUCUAAUAAAGGGAUCCAUGACGUACCGUAAGAAUAAGACACCGGCUAACUACGUGCCGAGCAGCCGACGGUAAACCUAACC
Molecule: ribosomal RNA, 503 nt
Filed under: uncultured bacterium
Lineage: Bacteria
Description: bacterial SSU rRNA
Rfam family: Bacterial small subunit ribosomal RNA
Source: RNAcentral